This 525-nucleotide ribosomal RNA is filed under the name uncultured bacterium. RNAcentral's name for it is "bacterial SSU rRNA". It matches the Rfam family "Bacterial small subunit ribosomal RNA", at positions 984 to 1509 of the family's 1533-position model. The record is from RNAcentral.
ACAUCCAGAGACUUAGCAGAGAUGCUUUGGUGCCUUCGGGAACUCUGAGACAGGUGCUGCAUGGCUGUCGUCAGCUCGUGUUGUGAAAUGUUGGGUUAAGUCCCGNAACGAGCGCAACCCUUUAUCCUUUGUUGCCAGCGGUUCGGCCGGGAACUCAAAGGAGACUGCCGGUGAUAAACCGGAGGAAGGUGGGGAUGACGUCAAGUCAUCAUGGCCCUUACGGCCAGGGCUACACACGUGCUACAAUGGCGCAUACAAAGAGAAGCGACCUCGCGAGAGCAAGCGGACCUCAUAAAGUGCGUCGUAGUCCGGAUUGGAGUCUGCAACUCGACUCCAUGAAGUCGGAAUCGCUAGUAAUCGUAGAUCAGAAUGCUACGGUGAAUACGUUCCCGGGCCUUGUACACACCGCCCGUCACACCAUGGGAGUGGGUUGCAAAAGAAGUAGGUAGCUUAACCUUCGGGAGGGCGCUUACCACUUUGUGAUUCAUGACUGGGGUGAAGUCGUAACAAGGUAGGCGUAGCGAG